This 253-nucleotide ribosomal RNA is filed under the name uncultured bacterium. Its description in RNAcentral is "partial 16S ribosomal RNA". It matches the Rfam family "Bacterial small subunit ribosomal RNA", at positions 524 to 776 of the family's 1533-position model. The record is from RNAcentral.
UACGGAGGGGGCGAGCGUUAUUCGGAAUUAUUGGGCGUAAAGGGCGCGUAGGCGGCCUGUUAAGUCGAACGUGAAAUCCCCGGGCUCAACCCGGGAACUGCGUCCGAUACUGGCAGGCUUGAAUCCGGGAGAGGGAUGCGGAAUUCCAGGUGUAGCGGUGAAAUGCGUAGAUAUCUGGAGGAACACCGGUGGCGAAGGCGGCAUCCUGGACCGGCAUUGACGCUGAGGCGCGAAAGCCAGGGGAGCAAACGGG